RNAcentral lists this ribosomal RNA (450 nucleotides) under uncultured prokaryote. RNAcentral describes it as "bacterial SSU rRNA". It matches the Rfam family "Bacterial small subunit ribosomal RNA", at positions 355 to 796 of the family's 1533-position model. The record is from RNAcentral.
UCGGGAAUUUUGGGCAAUGGGCGAAAGCCUGACCCAGCAACGCCGCGUGAGGGAUGAAGGCCUUCGGGUCGUAAACCUCUGUCGGGAGGGAAGAAAGGUAAACGGUCAAAUAGGCCGGGUGCUUGACGGUACCUCCAAAGGAAGCACCGGCUAACUCCGUGCCAGCAGCCGCGGUAAUACGGAGGGUGCGAGCGUUGUUCGGAAUCAUUGGGCGUAAAGCGCGUGUAGGCGGCUUGGUAAGUCGGGUGUGAAAGCCCGGGGCUCAACCCCGGAACUGCACUCGAAACUGCCUCGCUAGAGUCCCGGAGAGGAAGGCGGAAUUCCCGGUGUAGAGGUGAAAUUCGUAGAUAUCGGGAGGAACACCAGUGGCGAAGGCGGCCUUCUGGACGGUGACUGACGCUGAGACGCGAAAGCGUGGGGAGCAAACAGGAUUAGAUACCCCCGUAGUCC